This 529-nucleotide ribosomal RNA is filed under the name Anurogryllus sp. (Urogryllus) FGu. RNAcentral's name for it is "eukaryotic LSU rRNA". It matches the Rfam family "Eukaryotic large subunit ribosomal RNA", at positions 1457 to 1948 of the family's 3401-position model. Lineage: Eukaryota; Metazoa; Arthropoda; Insecta; Orthoptera; Gryllidae. The record is from RNAcentral.
GUAGUAGCAAAUACUCUAACGAGACCCUAGAGGUCUGAAGCGGAGAAGGGUUUCGUGUGAACAGCUGUUGCACACGAGUCAGUCGAUCCUAAGCCCACGGGGAAACCCGAAACAUGCGAGCCAAAGGCCGCGUGUGGCGAUAGGGAAUCCGGUGCCCAUUCCGGAACCCGGCCGCGGAACCGUAAACGUCGUGCCCCACCUUCGGGUGGCAGCACGUUGUGGUAACACAAAUCAACCCGGAGACGCCGUCGGGAGGUCGGGGAAGAGUUUUCUUUUCUGUUUUUGCGCCCGGGCUCCCUGGAAUAGCCUAGAGCUGAGAGAGGGAGUGGGGCGCGUAGAGCACCGCAGUUGCGGCGGUGUCCCGACAUUCCCUUCGGACCUUGAAAAUCCGGGGGCGGGAGACGUGGAGGUAUCGCGCCGGUUCGUACCCAUAUCCGCAGCAGGUCUCCAAGGUGAAGAGCCUCUAGACGAUAGAAGAAUGUGGAUAAGGGAAGUCGGCAAAUUAGAUCCGUAACUUCGGAACAAGGAU